UACGGAGGGUGCGAGCGUUAUCCGGAAUUACUGGGCUUAAAGGGUGCGUAGGCGGCUUGUUAAGUCAGGAGUGAAAGUUUGCGGCUCAACCGUAAAAUUGCUUUUGAUACUGGCAGGCUAGAAUUAGGAUGAGGUUAGCGGAAUGUGGCAUGUAGCGGUGAAAUGCAUAGAUAUGCCAUAGAACACCAAUUGCGAAGGCAGCUGGCUAGACCUAUAUUGACGCUGAGGCACGAAAGCGUGGGGAGCGAACAGG
Molecule: ribosomal RNA, 253 nt
Filed under: uncultured bacterium
Lineage: Bacteria
Description: partial 16S ribosomal RNA
Rfam family: Bacterial small subunit ribosomal RNA
Source: RNAcentral